CAGUAUUGAGCUGCAUUCUAAAGAGAAGAAGCGCUGCUCUCCACCAAAUGAGGAUCUUUUUUCAAGAACAAGAUGAAGCAAACAAAACCCAGGUUUCCCCCCUGCAAACUGCUGUUUCUCUUGGCUACUGUAUUUACUGGAGCAAUCAAAGAGACAAACAGAUUCUAAAUAGCCUUCACAUAUUACCCAGGAUUAAAGAGGAUUUUAUCAGCCUGAAUUCGGAGAAGCUGCUCAGUGGCUCCAGGCCUCCUACCCUUCUGGAAAAGUACCGAACACAACCAAUCCUUCAAAAAUCAAUCCUCAAGAUUUUGACAGCGUGUUCACAAAACUCUGGCCAGUUCUUCUGCCCUGGCGUCGGCCCAGGGUAUCAG
Long non-coding RNA from Nomascus leucogenys (northern white-cheeked gibbon), 371 nucleotides. RefSeq lists it as uncharacterized. The transcript has 2 exons. NCBI's taxonomy places the organism in Eukaryota, Metazoa, Chordata, Mammalia, Primates, Hylobatidae. The record is from RefSeq and is a predicted model, not a curated record.